CGGGGUGGAGUAAUGUCUGGGAAACGUCUCGAUGGAGGGGGAUAACUACUGGAAACGGUAGCUAAUACCGCAUAAUGUCGCAAGACCAAAGUGGGGGACCUUCGGGCCUCUUGCCAUCGGAUGUGCCCAGAUGGGAUUAGCUAGUAGGUGGGGUAACGGCUCACCUAGGCGACGAUCCCUAGCUGGUCUGAGAGGAUGACCAGCCACACUGGAACUGAGACACGGUCCAG
This 230-nucleotide ribosomal RNA is filed under the name uncultured bacterium. RNAcentral's name for it is "partial 16S ribosomal RNA". It matches the Rfam family "Bacterial small subunit ribosomal RNA", at positions 104 to 334 of the family's 1533-position model. The record is from RNAcentral.